This 492-nucleotide ribosomal RNA is filed under the name uncultured bacterium. RNAcentral describes it as "partial 16S ribosomal RNA". It matches the Rfam family "Bacterial small subunit ribosomal RNA", at positions 29 to 507 of the family's 1533-position model. The record is from RNAcentral.
AGUGAACGCUGGCGGUAGGCCUAACACAUGCAAGUCGAACGGCAGCACAGUAAGAGCUUGCUCUUACGGGUGGCGAGUGGCGGACGGGUGAGGAAUACAUCGGAAUCUACUUUUUCGUGGGGGAUAACGUAGGGAAACUUACGCUAAUACCUCAUACGACCUACGGGUGAAAGCAGGGGAUCUUAGGACCUUGCGCGAUUGAAUGAGCCGAUGUCGGAUUAGCUAGUUGGCGGGGUAAAGGCCCACCAAGGCGACGAUCCGUAGCUGGUCUGAGAGGAUGAUCAGCCACACUGGAACUGAGACACGGUCCAGACUCCUACGGGAGGCAGCAGUGGGGAAUAUUGGACAAUGGGCGCAAGCCUGAUCCAGCCAUACCGCGUGGGUGAAGAAGGCCUUCGGGUUGUAAAGCCCUUUUGUUGGGAAAGAAAAGCAGCAGGUUAAUACCCCGCUGUUCUGACGGUACCCAAAGAAUAAGCACCGGCUAACUUCGUG